GGGUUGUGAGGUUAAGCGACUAAGCGUACACGGUGGAUGCCCUGGCAGUCAGAGGCGAUGAAGGACGUGCUAAUCUGCGAUAAGCGUCGGUAAGGUGAUAUGAACCGUUAUAACCGGCGAUUUCCGAAUGGGGAAACCCAGUGUGAUUCGUCACACUAUCAUUAACUGAAUCCAUAGGUUAAUGAGGCGAACCGGGGGAACUGAAACAUCUAAGUACCCCGAGGAAAAGAAAUCAACCGAGAUUCCCCCAGUAGCGGCGAGCGAACGGGGAGCAGCCCAGAGCCUGAAUCAGUGUGUGUGUUAGUGGAAGCGUCUGGAAAGGCGCGCGAUACAGGGUGACAGCCCCGUACACAAAAAUGCACAUACUGUGAGCUCGAUGAGUAGGGCGGGACACGUGGUAUCCUGUCUGAAUAUGGGGGGACCAUCCUCCAAGGCUAAAUACUCCUGACUGACCGAUAGUGAACCAGUACCGUGAGGGAAAGGCGAAAAGAACCCCGGCGAGGGGAGUGAAAAAGAACCUGAAACCGUGUACGUACAAGCAGUGGGAGCCUCUUAAUGGGGUGACUGCGUACCUUUUGUAUAAUGGGUCAGCGACUUAUAUUCUGUAGCAAGGUUAACCGAAUAGGGGAGCCGAAGGGAAACCGAGUCUUAACUGGGCGUUAAGUUGCAGGGUAUAGACCCGAAACCCGGUGAUCUAGCCAUGGGCAGGUUGAAGGUUGGGUAACACUAACUGGAGGACCGAACCGACUAAUGUUGAAAAAUUAGCGGAUGACUUGUGGCUGGGGGUGAAAGGCCAAUCAAACCGGGAGAUAGCUGGUUCUCCCCGAAAGCUAUUUAGGUAGCGCCUCGUGAAUUCAUCUCCGGGGGUAGAGCACUGUUUCGGCAAGGGGGUCAUCCCGACUUACCAACCCGAUGCAAACUGCGAAUACCGGAGAAUGUUAUCACGGGAGACACACGGCGGGUGCUAACGUCCGUCGUGAAGAGGGAAACAACCCAGACCGCCAGCUAAGGUCCCAAAGUCAUGGUUAAGUGGGAAACGAUGUGGGAAGGCCCAGACAGCCAGGAUGUUGGCUUAGAAGCAGCCAUCAUUUAAAGAAAGCGUAAUAGCUCACUGGUCGAGUCGGCCUGCGCGGAAGAUGUAACGGGGCUAAACCAUGCACCGAAGCUGCGGCAGCGACGCUUAUGCGUUGUUGGGUAGGGGAGCGUUCUGUAAGCCUGCGAAGGUGUGCUGUGAGGCAUGCUGGAGGUAUCAGAAGUGCGAAUGCUGACAUAAGUAACGAUAAAGCGGGUGAAAAGCCCGCUCGCCGGAAGACCAAGGGUUCCUGUCCAACGUUAAUCGGGGCAGGGUGAGUCGACCCCUAAGGCGAGGCCGAAAGGCGUAGUCGAUGGGAAACAGGUUAAUAUUCCUGUACUUGGUGUUACUGCGAAGGGGGGACGGAGAAGGCUAUGUUGGCCGGGCGACGGUUGUCCCGGUUUAAGCGUGUAGGCUGGUUUUCCAGGCAAAUCCGGAAAAUCAAGGCUGAGGCGUGAUGACGAGGCACUACGGUGCUGAAGCAACAAAUGCCCUGCUUCCAGGAAAAGCCUCUAAGCAUCAGGUAACAUCAAAUCGUACCCCAAACCGACACAGGUGGUCAGGUAGAGAAUACCAAGGCGCUUGAGAGAACUCGGGUGAAGGAACUAGGCAAAAUGGUGCCGUAACUUCGGGAGAAGGCACGCUGAUACUAGGUGAAGCGCCCUGUGCGUGGAGCUGAAAUCAGUCGAAGAUACCAGCUGGCUGCAACUGUUUAUUAAAAACACAGCACUGUGCAAACACGAAAGUGGACGUAUACGGUGUGACGCCUGCCCGGUGCCGGAAGGUUAAUUGAUGGGGUUAGCGGUAACGCGAAGCUCUUGAUCGAAGCCCCGGUAAACGGCGGCCGUAACUAUAACGGUCCUAAGGUAGCGAAAUUCCUUGUCGGGUAAGUUCCGACCUGCACGAAUGGCGUAAUGAUGGCCAGGCUGUCUCCACCCGAGACUCAGUGAAAUUGAACUCGCUGUGAAGAUGCAGUGUACCCGCGGCAAGACGGAAAGACCCCGUGAACCUUUACUAUAGCUUGACACUGAACAUUGAGCCUUGAUGUGUAGGAUAGGUGGGAGGCUUUGAAGUGUGGACGCCAGUCUGCAUGGAGCCGACCUUGAAAUACCACCCUUUAAUGUUUGAUGUUCUAACGUUGGCCCCUAAUCGGGGUUGCGGACAGUGUCUGGUGGGUAGUUUGACUGGGGCGGUCUCCUCCUAAAGAGUAACGGAGGAGCACGAAGGUUGGCUAAUCCUGGUCGGACAUCAGGAGGUUAGUGCAAUGGCAUAAGCCAGCUUGACUGCGAGCGUGACGGCGCGAGCAGGUGCGAAAGCAGGUCAUAGUGAUCCGGUGGUUCUGAAUGGAAGGGCCAUCGCUCAACGGAUAAAAGGUACUCCGGGGAUAACAGGCUGAUACCGCCCAAGAGUUCAUAUCGACGGCGGUGUUUGGCACCUCGAUGUCGGCUCAUCACAUCCUGGGGCUGAAGUAGGUCCCAAGGGUAUGGCUGUUCGCCAUUUAAAGUGGUACGCGAGCUGGGUUUAGAACGUCGUGAGACAGUUCGGUCCCUAUCUGCCGUGGGCGCUGGAGAACUGAGGGGGGCUGCUCCUAGUACGAGAGGACCGGAGUGGACGCAUCACUGGUGUUCGGGUUGUCAUGCCAAUGGCACUGCCCGGUAGCUAAAUGCGGAAGAGAUAAGUGCUGAAAGCAUCUAAGCACGAAACUUGCCCCGAGAUGAGUUCUCCCUGACUCCCUGAGAGUCCUGAAGGAACGUUGAAGACGACGACGUUGAUAGGCCGGGUGUGUAAGCGCAGCGAUGCGUUGAGCUAACCGGUACUAAUGAACCGUGAGGCUUAACCUUACAACGCCGAAG
Molecule: ribosomal RNA, 2925 nt
Filed under: Escherichia coli
Lineage: Bacteria; Pseudomonadati; Pseudomonadota; Gammaproteobacteria; Enterobacterales; Enterobacteriaceae
Description: 23S ribosomal RNA
Rfam family: Bacterial large subunit ribosomal RNA
Source: RNAcentral